UACGUAGGGUGCAAGCGUUAAUCGGAAUUACUGGGCGUAAAGCGUGCGCAGGCGGUAAUGUAAGACAGUUGUGAAAUCCCCGGGCUCAACCUGGGAACUGCAUCUGUGACUGCAUUGCUGGAGUACGGCAGAGGGGGAUGGAAUUCCGCGUGUAGCAGUGAAAUGCGUAGAUAUGCGGAGGAACACCGAUGGCGAAGGCAAUCCCCUGGGCCUGUACUGACGCUCAUGCACGAAAGCGUGUGGAGCAAAUAGG
RNAcentral lists this ribosomal RNA (253 nucleotides) under uncultured bacterium. Its description in RNAcentral is "partial 16S ribosomal RNA". It matches the Rfam family "Bacterial small subunit ribosomal RNA", at positions 524 to 776 of the family's 1533-position model. The record is from RNAcentral.